Molecule: long non-coding RNA, 334 nt
Filed under: Actinidia chinensis (golden kiwifruit)
Lineage: Eukaryota; Viridiplantae; Streptophyta; Magnoliopsida; Ericales; Actinidiaceae
Description: long non-coding RNA (ACHI_LNC007170)
Source: RNAcentral
GUUAGUGCGCGUGACUUGCAUUUAGAUUGGCACUGCCAGCUGGGGUUCGAAUCUUGGCGGUAACGGUCGUAUUUUUUUUCCUUACUUGGGGACCAAGCCCAGAUAAAAUUUCCAAGUAAUAAUAGGUAUUCUUUUUCUUUACUUAAUGGGGAGAGAGAGCACACGCAAAACAUACAUUUUAGAGAGAGAAACCGAAAACCAGACCACAGACUCUAGAAAGCAAUCUAAAACCCCAUUCUUCUCCUCCCCUCUCUCUAGUUUACUCUCUCCCUAAAACAUGAGUCCCCUUCGAUCGGACCCUCCCAUUCCCAUUCUUCAACUUCCACAUAUCUGU